GCAGGAAUAUCCUUCUCUAGUGAAGCUUUGAGCAUGCACGACUAUAAAGAUUGCUAACACCGUCCUUGAUUCAUUUCAAGGGCGAUGUCACCCAAAUGCUGGGACCCUUGAACAAUAAGAGUAUCAGCAGCCAAACUCACGCUUGGUCCACAGAUUAGGUGGUGACGGUCAAAUGAUAACCAAGAUUUUGUUUGACUAAGAUAUAAUCGGUUUGCUGUCCUACCACAGUGAGAAGAACGUUCCGUAGGUG
This 250-nucleotide unclassified non-coding RNA is filed under the name plant metagenome. Its description in RNAcentral is "partial contains small subunit ribosomal RNA, internal transcribed spacer 1, and 5.8S ribosomal RNA". The record is from RNAcentral.